GCAUGCAAAAUACCAUCAUGUGGAAAAAUAUAUAGGUCCAGACAUACCUAUUUAAAGCACAAGAAAGACCAUCGAAUUGCAGCAAAAAACAACACACAGAGAUUGCUUCAAGCAAUACAAGGUUCUUUAAGCUGUCCACUAUGUGGAGCUCAUUUUUCCCGCAGAGGGCAUUUGUACGACCACAUUCUGUAUGUUCACGAGAAGUACCGACCACAUGGUUGUGACAUGUGUGAUCAGCAGUAUACCCGACCCUCAGAACUGCAGAAACAUAUUUAGAAAUGCCACGCAGGUGGGGUUGGGUACCAAAGGACAAAGGAAACUGAGAAAGUUGAACAAGGAAGCAGUAUGUAUGCCUGGGAAUGAUCUAGAGCAUGGCAGACGGAUUGGCUGUUAGGACUGCUGGGAAGCGCAUCUCAGCACAGGGCUGAUACUGAGGCUGCCACGGAUUGGCUGUUAGGACUGCUGGGAAGCGCAUCUCAGCACAGGGCUGAUACUGAGGCUGCCACGGAUUGGCUGUUAGGACUGCUGGGAAGCGCAUCUCAGCACAGGGCUGAUACUGAGGCUGCCACGGAUUGGCUGUUAGGACUGCUGGGAAGCACAUCUCAGCACAGGGCUGAUACUGAGGCUGAAGUCUGCUGAAUUAUGUUACGUUAACAUAUUGAAUUAUGUACCGCUUUGUACUUUUCCAUAAACUGACCAAUUGAAAAAUGUGACAUUUCGAAAUCUAACUGAAAUACUCUACUACUGUUCUGCCGUCCUGUAGACUUUGGCGAUUUCAUUUUGUAGAUUCUUUGUUUAGAUUCUGUUAAAUAAAAGAUCUACAUUUUAUGUUCAUAUCAUUAUUGAUUAAUCCUAAAAUUCCAGGUGAUGCAAAACUUUUGGUCAGAGCUGUAUGUAAAAUCGCUUCAUCCUAAAAAAAAGAACAUUUUUAAUUCAACCUUCAAUGUCUGUCUAAAUCACCCUGCAUGUGACUCUUCUAAGUGUUUUAUUGACAGCAGACAAUCCUUUUUGCAAUAAUAACCUGAUGAAAACAAUGUCCAAUAUUUAGCUCUCAGUAUUGCUGUAAAGCCCUACGUGUUCCACAGGCAAGGUUGAAAACCAAAGGAAAAAAGCUGCCGGGAGAAAAGAGCAAAGAAAAAAGAAGAAAAUCCAAAUUGUGCUGCCUAGGAAACAAUCCAACCCCACUGCACCUUCCAGUGAGAUUAAAAAUGAGAACUCAGUGAGCCUGAUGAAACGCAGUGCAGUUUUACAGAGGAAUUCGAUGCUCAUUGCAUGUUUUGAUUAAAUCUCCAAUGAAAAUUCAGAGCACAUGCUGUCUUCUAAAGAAGAUUAUGAUGGCUAUUCUGAGCAGCUGAUCUAUUUAAGUGAUGCUUGCAAUGGGAGUUCUGUGCAAAUGCCCGGCAACAAUGACAUUCUUAAUGGGAGUUCUGUGCACACGCCUGGCAACAAUGACAUUAUUAAUGGGAGUUCUGUGCACGCUCCUUGCUCUAAUGACAUUGUGAUUGAGAAUUCUACCUACAUGAAUCAACUCUCCCAACUUGAUGAUUCAGAUGGUUUGUCAAUGAUCCAGAUCAGUAAUGUGACCUCCCUGGUGAUGUCUCAAGCGGAUUUCCUUCAGACCCCAGGUACAGAUGAAGUCAUUGAAGGGGGCAGCGUGGCGAGUCCUGUGUGUUCAGCAAGAUCUCAGCAGACAAAGCCGCAUGCAAGAAAGUAUAUCUGUGGGGUAUGUGGACAGGAACACAGGUUAUAUUCCAGUCUCCUGAAACACAAACGGGUGCACUCAGGUAGAAGGCGAGUUUUUUGUUUGCUCUGCGGGAGAAGCUUCUUGCAGCCAAAGGACCUUGACAGGCACAUUGCCUGUGUUCACUCUCAAAGCUUCAGGUUCAGAUGCACGCACUGUGAGAUGGGCUUCAGUCGGCGUGUGCUGUUUUGUAAGCACGUUCUCCUGGCACACUGUGAUUUAGAAAGCCUGAAGUGUCACAUAUGCAAAAAGAAAUACAAAACUGCACAUCACCUUCAGGGUCAUAUCCAAAAGCAUCACAGCGACUGUAAGCAACUCUGAUUGCAUUCUUCUUCAAGGGUCUGGUCACCGGCAUGUACCCAGCGACUUCACGUUGUUAAUGCAGUCAUUGCACAGGCAGAAGAGACUGAACUGAUGUUGCCCAUGCAAAUGUCUGUUUACAUUUACAUCUAUGCAAAACCUACAAGCGCAAGUACCAUCAGCACAAGCUAAGACGAUGCUCGAGUCAGGUUUGGAAGUGCAGUAUCAGCAGCACAAGCUAAGACGAUGCUCGAGUCAGGUUUGGAAGUGCGGUAUCAGCAGCACAAGCUAAGACGAUGCUCGAGUCAGGUUUGGAAGUGCGGUAUCAGCAGCACAAGCUAAGACGAUGCUCGAGUCAGGUUUGGAAGUGCAGUAUCAGCAGCACAAGCUAAGAUGAUGCUCAAAUCAGUUUGGAAGUGUAACCUGUGUGUUUGGUAGCGUAGCUCUCCCCCACAGUGCACACAUGGUGAUAUCACAUCCACAUUCAAUCAGUUGGGUCUGUGGCUUUGCCUGGAUCAUCACACUUUUAGCAAUGUAUCAAACUCCCAGUCUGCUUUCGUUUGCUCACACCUCACACAGCUGAGCUUCAAACCCUCAGUAAGAAUGCGCUGUGCAAACGAUUGUUCAGCAGAAGCAGCGUGUGUAAAUGAAGAGGCCUUUGUCGAACUUUGUGGGUUAGCAAAAGGUUCGGAUCAGAGUUUAUUUCUCAGGGGAACAAAUGAGUUUUGUGUACAGCCGCUUUAUUUUUUAUCAUGUACUCGAAUGUCUUUAAAUAAUGUACAAAAUAGAGAAGUUAUUUUUCUUCUACACGUCUAAAUAAUAACUAAU
Molecule: long non-coding RNA, 2869 nt
Organism: Acipenser ruthenus (sterlet)
Lineage: Eukaryota; Metazoa; Chordata; Actinopteri; Acipenseriformes; Acipenseridae
Exons: 11
Source: RefSeq, a predicted model, not a curated record